Molecule: ribosomal RNA, 85 nt
Filed under: Candidatus Aminicenantota bacterium
Lineage: Bacteria; Candidatus Aminicenantota
Description: Candidatus Aminicenantes bacterium partial 16S ribosomal RNA
Rfam family: Bacterial small subunit ribosomal RNA
Source: RNAcentral
UAACUGGAGAGUUUGAUCCUGGCUCAGAGUCAACGUUGGCGGCGUGCGUAACACAUGCAAGUCGAACGAUCCUUGAGUGGCUUGC